UACGAAGGGGGCUAGCGUUGUUCGGAAUCACUGGGCGUUAAGGGCGCGUAGGCGGCUAUUCAAGUCGGGGGUGAAAUCCCGUGGCUCAACCACGGAAUGGCCUUCGAUACUGGACGGCUCGAGACCGGAAGAGGUGAGUGGAACUGCGAGUGUAGAGGUGAAAUUCGUAGAUAUUCGCAAGAACACCAGUGGCGAAGGCGGCUCACUGGUCCGGUUCUGACGCUGAGGCGCGAAAGCGUGGGGAGCAAACAGG
This 253-nucleotide ribosomal RNA is filed under the name uncultured bacterium. Its description in RNAcentral is "partial 16S ribosomal RNA". It matches the Rfam family "Bacterial small subunit ribosomal RNA", at positions 524 to 776 of the family's 1533-position model. The record is from RNAcentral.